AUGUAAAUUCCUUGAGGGCAGGGGUUCUACU
This 31-nucleotide non-coding RNA is filed under the name Rattus norvegicus (Norway rat). Lineage: Eukaryota; Metazoa; Chordata; Mammalia; Rodentia; Muridae. The record is from RNAcentral.